GGCCCAGUAGCUCAGUUGGUUAGAGCGCUAGCCUGUCACGCUAGAGGUCGAGGGUUUAAGUCCCUUCUGGGUCG
This 74-nucleotide transfer RNA is filed under the name Caldanaerobacter subterraneus. RNAcentral describes it as "tRNA-Asp". It matches the Rfam family "tRNA". Rfam says of the family: Transfer RNA (tRNA) molecules are approximately 80 nucleotides in length. The record is from RNAcentral. Lineage: Bacteria; Bacillati; Bacillota; Clostridia; Thermoanaerobacterales; Thermoanaerobacteraceae.